Long non-coding RNA from Thamnophis sirtalis, 2668 nucleotides. RefSeq lists it as uncharacterized. The record is from RefSeq and is a predicted model, not a curated record. Lineage: Eukaryota; Metazoa; Chordata; Lepidosauria; Squamata; Natricidae.
UAGUGGCCCGGCAACGGAGGCCCGCCUUCUCUGGCCUGCUAAGAGACGCUAACGUGAUGGCUGACGGAGUUCGCUCGUGCUUUCCUCGCCAGCGCUAUCUCAAGAUGGAGAGCCGACGCCAGAUAGGACAGCUGUGCUGAAUUUAUUAAGCUAGAAGAAAACAGAAAAAAAAAGACUAAUUUGCAGCAACUCUUUAUAGGUAAGAAUUUAUUGAAGAGUAGUGCCCAAAUUCUGCAGGAAGAGAAGAACCAAGUUUUCCUCCAUUGGUCAAAUUCAUAUCAGGUGGAAAUAUAACGCAGUCAACAAUUGUCUCAUAAGGAUUGUAAUAAGUCUUCUAAGCAACCUUUUUCAUGCUGAAUUAAAAAAUGAGGUCAGGUUUUUUUUAUCAGGCUUAGUUUUUUGUGACCCUAUUAUUCCGUUCAAUUAGUGGCAUGGUGCUUUAUGUUCACUAUAGUAGCAUAUCUGUAUCAGAUAUGUUUAGUUUGGAGGGAUCAAUCCACUCCCCACCUCCAAGUUAUGUUAUUUCUGCAUAACAAACACAACAGGGAUCACCUGUAAAAUAACCACACUAUGAAAUACCCAGAUUUACCAUCUGAAAUGAAGGUACCCAUGUAAAAGUUUUACUGUAUCAAAGCUUCUAAAAAUGGGACAGUUAGUGACAGUGACUAAUAUAAUGGUUGUGCUUAGGUAAAGCAGAAAAGGAAAUGUUUAAUUCUGAUCUAACAUUUCAGGUUAUCUAAAAUGAGCCACAUUUGUUGAUGCAAGGGGAUCUGAACAAUCUUGUUUAUGAUUUGAAGUCUUAGAAGCAGGAUGAACUUUUAAGAUCAAAAUGAAAGGGAAUCUUCACUGUCAUGAUAGUUAAGGGUUUUUUUUUUUCUUUCAUAGCCACCAUAAUGAAUGUAACAAUUUAUUCUCCCAAUAAGAUGGACUAGUGUUUUGUAAAUAUGUUUAUUCCGUUAUGGAGACUCUUGGUCAUGAACACAAUGUAAAUAAUUGACUCCUUGAAAGUUAAGACGGGAGGGUCUUUUUCAUAAUGGGAAUAAUUUAUUUUCUACAUGUGGGCCCAUGCUGCUAACAGGAAAGUGUUACAUGAGAACAAGAAAGAAAAGAUCCAGUGUGAAAAAUAUAAAUGGAGUAUUUUUGGAGAACUGAAAGUCACUAUACUUUUCUCAGCCUGCAAUUUGGAUACACAAAGUAAGGUGUUUUUUUUCCAUGAGAAGGAUAGUAAAAAGAAAAAAAACAUCAAGCUCAAAUAAUGCCCCAAAUAUACCUCAUUUUUUCACAAACAGUUUUGGGAAUAAUAAAGCAAGAAAUUCACAAAAUACUAAUGAAUUUAACAUGUCGUUGAAAGUUCAUUUCUUGGACAUUCACUUGGACUUUUUCCCCUAACAACACUAACUACUCAGUGAUGAGUAUGGUGAAUGAUUUCCCCAGGAUAUUUGAAACAUGGAAAAACCAAGAAAAGUUGAGUCCCAGCAUACUGGCUGAGUAUUGCUAGCCUUUGAGAUAAAAACCACCAGAUAAUUCAACACUGCUUUUUGUGCUACAAAUUAAACUGUAAAUACAGGCUAUUAUCAAAAGUAAAUUAUUGAUCACUCAGAUACCGUACCUGAUAGAAAAAUCCUGGAACAUUUGAAUUCAGCAUGAAAAACUAUGAGACUAACCAGUUUUCGUGUGACAUUUUUUUGUUCUCCAUCCUUUCAAGUUACCCUUUGCAACAUUGUUGAUUCCAAGUGUAAUUUUUAAUCCAUUUUAAGGGUAUCCCUAUGGGGAAAGCUCAUGGAUAUAACCAUACAUAGAUACUUUAUCAUCUAGAGAUACAAAUCUGCACAUCAAAUGCAGUCCAAGAAGUUAAGGAUUACAUAAGGGGUAUAUUUUUAAUGUGAAUAAAUCUCUAAUCAAGCAUCUCCACUAUUUCUUCCAAACUAACUAACAAGCGGCUGCCAAUUCUAAAGCUGUGAUAGUUUUAUCCCAUUCUCAAAUUUAUCCUACGAGAGCCUUGAGAGCUCUUGCACCGUAUUUCUCUGAUAAGUGUCUCCAGAUUAAUUACCAGAAAACAAGAUUAUGCUAACUGUUCUAGAAUAACCAACUGACAAAUUCAGGAAAAUUAACUAGGCAUACUUUUAGAAUGAGAGGGAAGCUCAGGUUAAUCAUGUACCAAUAUCUUAGACAAAUGGUGCAACAAUACUGAAGUUCUUCCACUCAAAAAAUCCCACCUUCCCCAUCAAAUAAUUUGCACCGAAAUGUUUGUUGCAGCCCCUCAUUGGAUUUCAGUUCAGUUCAUAUUCUAGCUAUGCUUUGCUGGAAUCAAUUCAGAUGUUUCCAGGUAUAAUGCAAACUUAUAGCUGAAGUCUAGGUUGUCUAGGAUGGUGAUUUACAUGGCUGGUAAUUUUCACUUUAUGGUUAAAAAUAAACGUUUGACCCCUUAACAACCCUUGCAGUUUACUCAGUUUGGGAAAGAGCCUCAGUAUAUAUAUAUCCUUUUGCCAUAUGGUGGUCUAUCAGAAACCUUAUUUUCAGUACUGUAAAACUGUAUGUUUCAAAUGUUAUGUAUCUAAGAUUGAAGAAUUAUUUAAAUGCCAUCUGAAGCUAGCUACCCUGACCUCACUGGAUAAUAAGCCCAAUUAUGCUUUUGAGUGCAUGCACUAAAAUAAGCCCUCCCCCCCCC